Long non-coding RNA from Amphimedon queenslandica, 152 nucleotides. RefSeq lists it as uncharacterized. The record is from RefSeq and is a predicted model, not a curated record. The transcript is spliced from 3 exons. Lineage: Eukaryota; Metazoa; Porifera; Demospongiae; Haplosclerida; Niphatidae.
GAUAAUGAGGAGAAGAAACAGAUUAUUACUGAAGAUUAUGAGAAACUUAAAGUCAAAGUUGCCAAAUUAUUGGAAGAGGAGGAACAAUACUUCAAGGAAAAACAGAUCAUUAUUGACAACAAUCAAAAUCUCAUUUCUGAGAAAGACAAAGU